Molecule: ribosomal RNA, 497 nt
Filed under: uncultured bacterium
Lineage: Bacteria
Description: partial 16S ribosomal RNA
Rfam family: Bacterial small subunit ribosomal RNA
Source: RNAcentral
GAUGAACGCUGGCGGCGUGCCUAAUACAUGCAAGUCGAGCGAACGGACGAGAAGCUUGCUUCUCUGAUGUUAGCGGCGGACGGGUGAGUAACACGUGUAUAACCUACCUAUAAGACUGGGAUAACUUCGGGAAACCGGAGCUAAUACCGUAUGAGAUUUUGAUCCGCAUGGUUCAAUAGUGAAAUACGGUCUUGCUGUCACUUAUAGAUGGAUCCGGGCUGCAUUGGCUAGUUGGUAAGUUAACGGCUUACCAAGGCAACGAUGCAUAGCCGACCGGAGAGGGGGAUAGGCCACCCGGGAGCUGAGACAGCGACCUGGCGCCUACGAGAGGCCGCAGUAGCGUAUCUUCCGCAAUGGGCGAAAGCAUGACGGAGCAACGCCGAGUGAGUGAUGGAGGCCUUCGGAUCGUAAUACUCUGUUACUAGUGAAGAACAUAUGUGUACGUAACCGUGCCGAUAGUGACGGUAACUAAUAAGAAAGCCCCGGCUAACUACGUG